RNAcentral lists this ribosomal RNA (253 nucleotides) under uncultured bacterium. Its description in RNAcentral is "partial 16S ribosomal RNA". It matches the Rfam family "Bacterial small subunit ribosomal RNA", at positions 524 to 776 of the family's 1533-position model. The record is from RNAcentral.
UACGUAGGGGGCAAGCGUUGUCCGGAAUCACUGGGCGUAAAGCGUGCGUAGGCGGUUUUUCAAGUCUGGGGUGAAAGUCCAUGGCUCAACCAUGGGAAUGCCUUGGAAACUGGGAGACUUGAGUACUGGAGAGGCAAGGGGAAUUCCACGUGUAGCGGUGAAAUGCGUAGAUAUGUGGAGGAAUACCAGUGGCGAAGGCGCCUUGCUGGACAGUUACUGACGCUGAGGCACGAAAGCGUGGGGAGCAAACAGG